AAGCUCGUAGUUGAAUUUCGGGAUCAGACUGUCGGUCGUGCCUCGGUACGCACUGGCAUUAUUGGUUCCUACCUUCUGAAGAACCGCGAUGUCAUUAAUUUGGUGUCGUGGGGAAUCAGGACUGUUACUUUGAAAAAAUUAGAGUGUUUAAAGCAGGCUUACGCUUGAAUACAUUAGCAUGGAAUAAUGAAAUAGGACGUUUGAUUCUAUUUUGUUGGUUUCUAGGAUCGACGUAAUGAUUAAUAGGGAUAGUUGGG
RNAcentral lists this ribosomal RNA (257 nucleotides) under uncultured Glomus. RNAcentral describes it as "partial 18S ribosomal RNA". It matches the Rfam family "Eukaryotic small subunit ribosomal RNA", at positions 624 to 886 of the family's 1831-position model. Lineage: Eukaryota; Fungi; Glomeromycota; Glomeromycetes; Glomerales; Glomeraceae. The record is from RNAcentral.